CCGCAAUGAAUUGGUUUUAUUGUUUGUUGUUGCGGCUGCCCCCCCCCGGUGCGUGUCGUCUCUGUGCGCCGCCAUUGGUUUCCAAUGGCGGCGCGCGCGCUCCGCCAUUCGUUCCAGACUCUCUAUCCAAUGGCAGUUACUUGCGCAUGACACGACCCGACGCCUGACUUGGACUGGCCAUUCUUUCUUUGGUUGGGGUGCAUUGCGGCCUUUGCCCAUGGGACGAAAAAAACCCUGUCUACUUUUUACACCAACGCCGAGUCGAGGCGGCGUGCCGUCGCCAACGACACCCUCUUGGCACCAUAGGAAAGGGCAACAAGUAGGAAAAAAAUCAGAGACAGAAGAGUGGGAUUUGUCCGCUCUUUUCCAAGCCAAAGGGCAAUCGAGUGAAUGCGAAUAAAUGAG
RNAcentral lists this long non-coding RNA (405 nucleotides) under Pandoravirus neocaledonia. RNAcentral's name for it is "hypothetical ncRNA". The record is from RNAcentral.